Molecule: ribosomal RNA, 251 nt
Filed under: uncultured bacterium
Lineage: Bacteria
Description: partial 16S ribosomal RNA
Rfam family: Bacterial small subunit ribosomal RNA
Source: RNAcentral
AAUCCUGGCUCAGGAUGAACGCUAGCUACAGGCUUAACACAUGCAAGUCGAGGGGCAGCAUUUUAGUUUGCUUGCAAACUAAAGAUGGCACCGGCGCACGGGUGAGUAACACGUAUCCAACCUGCCGAUAACUCGGGGAUAGCCUUUCGAAAGAAAGAUUAAUAUCCGAUAGUAUAUUUUCUCCGCAUGGCGAGAAUAUUAAAGAAUUUCAGUUAUCGAUGGGGAUGCGUUCCAUUAGUUUGUUGGCGGGG